GUCUAUGGUCAUGCCACCCUGAACAAGCCCGAUCCCGUCUGAUCUCGGAAGCUAAGCAGGGUCGGGAUGGGAGACUACCUAGGAAGACCAGGUGCUGGAGACG
Molecule: ribosomal RNA, 103 nt
Filed under: Pteropus alecto (black flying fox)
Lineage: Eukaryota; Metazoa; Chordata; Mammalia; Chiroptera; Pteropodidae
Source: RNAcentral